RNAcentral lists this unclassified non-coding RNA (216 nucleotides) under uncultured Atractiellales. Its description in RNAcentral is "sequence contains ITS2". The record is from RNAcentral. Lineage: Eukaryota; Fungi; Basidiomycota; Atractiellomycetes; Atractiellales.
AAUUCUCAACCUCCUUCCCUUUGUGGUUGGCUGGUUGGAUCAUGGGCGCUUGCCGGCUUCGGUCUGGCUCGCCUGAAAUGCAUCUGUGAUCGUGUUGCCCUUGUGAGUUGGCCCGACUAGGCGUGAUAGUGAUAACGUUCGUCUAGGAUCCCGCUUCGGCGAGGAGCCGCUCCUGUUGGGACGUCAGCGUCGCAUACGACCCCUUAUUAUCUUUGG